CGCGUAGGUGGCCAUGCAAGUCGGGAGUGAAAUGUCACGGCUCAACCGUGGACCUGCUUUCGAAACUGCAUGGCUAGAGGAUGAGAGGGGAAGGUGGAAUUCCAGGUGUAGCGGUGAAAUGCACAGAUAUCUGGAGGAACACCAGAGGCGAAGGCGGCCUUCUGGAUCAUGCCUGACACUGAGGCGCGAAAGCGUGGGGAGCGAACA
RNAcentral lists this ribosomal RNA (207 nucleotides) under uncultured bacterium. RNAcentral's name for it is "partial 16S ribosomal RNA". It matches the Rfam family "Bacterial small subunit ribosomal RNA", at positions 568 to 774 of the family's 1533-position model. The record is from RNAcentral.